GCAGGGGGAGGGCAGUAUGCCGGCCCCACCGGGCUUCAGGCAGCUGUUUCACGUUAACGAUGAUUGCACUGGUGUUAGCUGGAGCGUUUUGGUGCUUGGCGCACGCUGCCAAAAGGGAUGAGGAACAGUUUCAAAGUUCUCCCAGAUGCCCGGCCCUUGGCUGAGGGCCUCAGCAGUGGGGGAGGGGAAACCCGAGGCCAAGGAGGGCUCUCCAGCAAGGACCCUGCAGGCUCGCUGGCCUCUUCACCAUAAAGAAUGUGCAAUGGGGAGGAAAAGUCUAAAAUGUGGUGCUGUUCAGGCCAGGCUGCGUUUCCAAGGCCUUGCUUCCACUUCAUUCCAAAACUUAACUUUCCUUAAACAAGUACUUUUGAGCAACUGGAAUGUUCGACUUCUUUUGGGGCUCAUGCCCACAGGAUUGGAAUGCCUUGAAGAUCCUCAAAGUGACUCUUUAUGGAGCCCCUAUUAUGCACUAAAGCUUUAUGUAUGUUAAUAACAGCCUUUAUAUCUACUACACAAGACUGAGGGACUACUACUGCCCCUGUUUCAAAGAUAAGGAAACCGAGCUCAGAGAAGUUAUAUGCCCCAGGCCAAGCGGCUGGGGAAAGGCUGAAGUAGAAUUCAAAGGAACCUGAGCUGUUGCUCCUUCAGAUCGCCCCAGGCUGCAGCUCUGACUCCUCUCUCCCUGCCUCCCUCCCACACUGUCUGUAAACUCAGAUUUCCACAUCUGUGCUUUAAAAACACAAUUACUUCAAGCCAUUCUUUGCUCAAAAUCCUCUGAGAAUAAAAUCUAAAAUCUUAGCAAGGCCAACCUAUGAA
Molecule: long non-coding RNA, 816 nt
Organism: Myotis davidii
Lineage: Eukaryota; Metazoa; Chordata; Mammalia; Chiroptera; Vespertilionidae
Exons: 2
Source: RefSeq, a predicted model, not a curated record